Molecule: ribosomal RNA, 40 nt
Filed under: Cenchrus purpureus (Napier grass)
Lineage: Eukaryota; Viridiplantae; Streptophyta; Magnoliopsida; Poales; Poaceae
Description: partial 18S ribosomal RNA
Source: RNAcentral
GUUUAACAAGGUUUCCGUAGGUGAACCUGCGGAAGGAUCA